Molecule: ribosomal RNA, 253 nt
Filed under: uncultured microorganism
Description: partial 16S ribosomal RNA
Rfam family: Bacterial small subunit ribosomal RNA
Source: RNAcentral
UACGGAGGGUGCAAGCGUUAAUCGGAAUUACUGGGCGUAAAGCGCACGCAGGCGGCUUGUUAAGUCGGAUGUGAAAGCCCCGGGCUCAACCUGGGAAUGGCAUCUGAUACUGGGAAGCUAGAGUAUGUGAGAGGGGGGUAGAAUUCCAAGUGUAGCGGUGAAAUGCGUAGAGAUUUGGAGGAAUACCAGUGGCGAAGGCGGCCCCCUGGGCCUGUACUGACGCUCAUGCACGAAAGCGUGGGGAGCAAACAGG